Molecule: long non-coding RNA, 426 nt
Filed under: Homo sapiens (human)
Lineage: Eukaryota; Metazoa; Chordata; Mammalia; Primates; Hominidae
Description: HSALNT0062626
Source: RNAcentral
CUGGGUUCUAUACAGAGCCUUAGACAUGGUAUAGACAGACAGACAGACCGACAAAUCUACUUAAGAAUGACCUGGGUUUCAUUUUAAAGUCAUACAAAAAUAUAUCUUUGCUCAAUUAGCUGGAAUGUUGUAUUUUUUGAAAACACUUUUAAAUGGCAAUAAUCAGAGACAUAUUACUCUAAGACAACUACUUGAGAUAUCUUAGUUCCCAAAAAGGUUCUUUGUAAACCAGGAAUUAACUAUUUUUAAUAUACUUGGAUCUGAAGUUUUAAUGACCCACACUUCAGUAUUCUGUCAACUGCUCCAGAAUCGUUGUCAUAGUUACCUAGUAUCAGGAACAUAAAGCUAAAUAAAUUUCAAUACAAUCUUAACCCAUUGCAAUUUCUGAAGUGAUACAUUUUAAUAGGUUUUGCAACAUCAGAGGCC